GACGAACGCUGGCGGCGCGCCUAACACAUGCAAGUCGAACGGAGCUUAGAGAGCUUGCUUUUUAAGCUUAGUGGCGAACGGGUGAGUAACGCGUGAGUAACCUGCCCUAGAGUGGGGGACAACAGUUGGAAACGGCUGCUAAUACCGCAUAAGCCCACGGUACCGCAUGGUACUGAGGGAAAAGGAUUUAUUCGCUUUAGGAUGGACUCGCGUCCAAUUAGCUAGUUGGUGAGGUAACGGCCCACCAAGGCGACGAUUGGUAGCCGGACUGAGAGGUUGAACGGCCACAUUGGGACUGAGACACGGCCCAGACUCCUACGGGAGGCAGCAGUGGGGGAUAUUGCACAAUGGGGGAAACCCUGAUGCAGCGACGCCGCGUGGAGGAAGAAGGUUUUCGGAUUGUAAACUCCUGUCGUUAGGGACGAUAAUGACGGUAC
Molecule: ribosomal RNA, 437 nt
Filed under: uncultured bacterium
Lineage: Bacteria
Description: bacterial SSU rRNA
Rfam family: Bacterial small subunit ribosomal RNA
Source: RNAcentral